This 476-nucleotide ribosomal RNA is filed under the name uncultured organism. Its description in RNAcentral is "partial 16S ribosomal RNA". It matches the Rfam family "Bacterial small subunit ribosomal RNA", at positions 331 to 798 of the family's 1533-position model. The record is from RNAcentral.
GUACACUCCUGCGGGAGGCAGCAGUGGGGAAUUUUGGACAAUGGGCGAAAGCCUGAUCCAGCAAUGCCGCGUGUGUGAAGAAGGCCUUCGGGUUGUAAAGCACUUUUGUCCGGAAAGAAAUCCUUGGCUCUAAUACAGUCGGGGGAUGACGGUACCGGAAGAAUAAGCACCGGCUAACUACGUGCCAGCAGCCGCGGUAAUACGUAGGGUGCGAGCGUUAAUCGGAAUUACUGGGCGUAAAGCGUGCGCAGGCGGUUUGCUAAGACCGAUGUGAAAUCCCCGGGCUCAACCUGGGAACUGCAUUGGUGACUGGCAGGCUAGAGUAUGGCAGAGGGGGGUAGAAUUCCACGUGUAGCAGUGAAAUGCGUAGAGAUGUGGAGGAAUACCGAUGGCGAAGGCAGCCCCCUGGGCCAAUACUGACGCUCAUGCACGAAAGCGUGGGGAGCAAACAGGAUUAGAUACCCCUGUAGUCCCAU